UGGGGGAUAUUGCACAAUGGGCGAAAGCCUGAUGCAGCGACGCCGCGUGGGGGAUGAAGGCUUUCGGGUUGUAAACCUCUUUCGCUAUCGAACAAGGCCCGCUUAGGGUGGGUUGAGGGUAGGUGGAGAAGAAGCGCCGGCUAACUACGUGCCAGCAGCCGCGGGAAUACGUAGGGCGCGAGCGUUGUCCGGAAUUAUUGGGGGUAAAGGGCUUGUAGGCGGCUUGUUGCGCCUGCUGUGAAAACGCGGGGCUUAACUUCGCGCGUGCAGUGGGUACGGGCGGGCUUGAGUGUGGUAGGGGUGACUGGAAUUCCAGGUGUAGCGGUGGAAUGCGCAGAUAUCUGGAGGAACACCGAUGGCGAAGGCAGGUCACUGGGCCAUUACUGACGCUGAGGAGCGAAAGCAUGGGUAGCGAACAGG
Molecule: ribosomal RNA, 420 nt
Filed under: bacterium
Lineage: Bacteria
Description: partial 16S ribosomal RNA
Rfam family: Bacterial small subunit ribosomal RNA
Source: RNAcentral